GACGAACGCUGGCGGCGUGCCUAAUACAUGCAAGUAGGACGAGUUGCGAACGGGUGAGUAACGCGUGGUAACCUACAUAUUAGAGGGGGAUAAAUACUGGAAACGGUAGGUAAUACCGCGUACCAUCGGAUGUGGCCAGAGGGGAAUAGCUAGUAGGAGGGGUAACGGCUCACCUAGGCGACGCUCACUAGCCGGGCUGAGAGGAUGACCAGCCACACUGGAACUGAGACACGGUCCAGACUCCUACGGGAGGCAGCAGUGGGGAAUAUUGCCCAAUGGGCGAAAGCCUGAUGCAGCCAUGCCGCGUGUAUGAAGAAGGCCUUCGGGUUGUAAAGUACUUUCAGCGAGGAGGCGUUACCCGCAGAAGAAGCACCGGCUAACUCCGUGCCAGCAGCCGCGGUAAUAC
Molecule: ribosomal RNA, 406 nt
Filed under: uncultured bacterium
Lineage: Bacteria
Description: partial 16S ribosomal RNA
Rfam family: Bacterial small subunit ribosomal RNA
Source: RNAcentral